GAUGAACGCUGGCGGCGUGCCUAAUACAUGCAAGUCGAGCGAACGGACGAGAAGCUUGCUUCUCUGAUGUUAGCGGCGGACGGGUGAGUAACACGUGGAUAACCUACCUAUAAGACUGGGAUAACUUCGGGAAACCGGCGCUAAUACCGGAUAAUAUUUUGAACCGCAUGGUUUAAAAGUGAAAGACGGUCUUGCUGUCACUUAUAGAUGGAUCCGCGCUGCAUUAGCUAGUUGGUAAGGUAACGGCUUACCAAGGCAACGAUGCAUAGCCGACCUGAGAGGGUGAUGGGCCAGCCUGGAACUGAGACACGGUCCAGGCUCCUACGGGAGGCAGCAGUAGGGAAUCUUGCGCAAUGGGCGAGAGCCUGACGGAGCAACGCCGCGUGAGUGAUGAAGGUCUUCGGAUCGUAAAACUCUGUUAUUAGGGAAGAACAUAUGUGUAAGUAACUGUGCACAUCUUGACGGUACCUAAUCAGAAAGCCACGGCUAACUACGUG
This 497-nucleotide ribosomal RNA is filed under the name uncultured bacterium. RNAcentral's name for it is "partial 16S ribosomal RNA". It matches the Rfam family "Bacterial small subunit ribosomal RNA", at positions 28 to 507 of the family's 1533-position model. The record is from RNAcentral.